GACGAACGCUGGCGGCGUGCUUAACACAUGCAAGUCGUACGGUAAGGCCCUUUCGGGGGUACACGAGUGGCGAACGGGUGAGUAACACGUGAGUAACCUGCCCACAACUUUGGGAUAACGCUAGGAAACUGGUGCUAAUACUGGAUAUGUGCUCCUGCUGCAUGGUGGGGGUUGGAAAGCUCCGGCGGUUGUGGAUGGACUCGCGGCCUAUCAGCUUGUUGGUGGGGUAGUGGCCUACCAAGGCGGCGACGGGUAGCCGGCCUGAGAGGGUGACCGGCCACAUGGGGACUGAGAUAGGCCCAGACUCCUACGGGAGGCAGCAGUGGGGAAUAUUGCACAAUGGGCGCAAGCCUGAUGCAGCAACGCCGCGUGCGGGAUGACGGCCUUCGGGUUGUAAACCGCUUUCAGCAGGGACGAAGCUUUUUGUGACGGUACCUGCAGAAGAAGCACCGGCUAACUACGUG
This 464-nucleotide ribosomal RNA is filed under the name uncultured bacterium. RNAcentral's name for it is "partial 16S ribosomal RNA". It matches the Rfam family "Bacterial small subunit ribosomal RNA", at positions 28 to 507 of the family's 1533-position model. The record is from RNAcentral.